CCAGCAGCUGCGGUAAUUCCAGCUCCAAUAGCGUAUAUUAAAGUUGUUGCAGUUAAAACGCUCGUAGUCUGAUGUAAUGGGGAUUGGAGUGGGGAGCAGCGAUGCUUUUUGCUUUGGUCCUCAUCAACGGGACAGCAAUGUCCCAUUUUACUUUGAGGAAAUUAGAGUGUUCAAAGCAGGCGAUUGCUUGAAUACUGCAGCAUGGAAUAAUGGAAUAGGACUCGCGUCUUAUUUUGUUGGUUUGGAGAUGUGAGUAAUGAUGAAUAGGGACAGUUGGGGGCAUUGGUAUUCAGUAGUCAGAGGUGAAAUUCUUGGAUUUACUGAAGACUAACGUAUGCGAAAGCAUUUGCCAAGGAUGUUUUCAUUGAUCAAGAACGAAAAU
Molecule: ribosomal RNA, 382 nt
Filed under: uncultured eukaryote
Lineage: Eukaryota
Description: SSU rRNA
Rfam family: Eukaryotic small subunit ribosomal RNA
Source: RNAcentral